UCCUAGGUCAGGGUUCAACCACUGAGCCACACCGGCCAGGCAAGAUGAUGGUUUUCAUGGAGGCAUCACUUAAUUCUUUAUAAGGGAAAACCCAGAAAGAACCUUUGACCUGGUAUUGAACGUGAAAUGUCACUCCUCUGAAGGCGAAGAUCCCGUGGUUUUGUGGAAAUUCCCAGAGAAGGACU
Molecule: long non-coding RNA, 185 nt
Organism: Myotis davidii
Lineage: Eukaryota; Metazoa; Chordata; Mammalia; Chiroptera; Vespertilionidae
Exons: 3
Source: RefSeq, a predicted model, not a curated record